RNAcentral lists this unclassified non-coding RNA (1297 nucleotides) under Hevea brasiliensis (rubber tree). The record is from RNAcentral. Lineage: Eukaryota; Viridiplantae; Streptophyta; Magnoliopsida; Malpighiales; Euphorbiaceae.
GCUCCAAAAUGAUGCUUUGAAGGAAAGUGCAUGAAUCUUGAGAUCACUCCCACUGAGAAUGCAAUGUCUAGUUUUGUGUGUGUCAAGUAGAUUAGUCCACCAACCAAACUCCUAAAGAUAUUUUCAUUCAUUGAUCCAGUUCCAUCAUCAACUUGUAACUUUUCAUUCACAUUCGCUACCAUUUUACAAUUUUCCAUGUUGAAUCAUUUAAGAAGAUCUGCAGCAUAUUUUCUUUGUGAGAUGAACACUCCUCCUUCAGCCUGUUUCAUUUCAAUUCCAAGAAAGUAAUGCAAUAAACCCAAAUCUGACAUUUCAAAUUCCUUAUUCUAAUUCUCUAUUUAAAAAAGCAGAUUUAACAUCAAACUGAUAUAUAGGCCAAUUUAAUUGAGUAAUUAAGGCAAGUAAGGUUCUUACAGUCUAGAACCGAGCAACAGGAGAAAAUGUAUCUUCAUAAUCCACACCUUGUUGCUGUGAGUAUCCCUUUGCUACCAAUCGUGCUUUGUGCUUCUGUAUACUCCCAUAUGCAUGAAACUUUGUUCUAAAAAUCCAUUUUACACCAAUGGCCUUCUUGCCUUUAGGAAGAUCCACCAACUCCCAAGUCUUAUUGUUUUGAAUUGCUGCAAGUUCUUCAUUCAUUGCUUUUGUCCAUUCUUCUUUCUCUGCUGCUUCUUCAAAGGUAGUUGGAUUAGCCACAUACAUAGCUUGUGUUGUUGUAUAGAUUUCUCUUAGAGACCCUGUUUUUCGUGGAGGAGUAUUAUCGGAUGAACUUUGUGGCGAGGAGGAGCUACUUCCUGGACUUGUCAAGGCUGACAUGCUUGGGGAAGUUGAAGUUGAGGGAGAUCUUGGAGGUGUUUGCAAUUGUCUUUCAUUUAAAUGAGCCUCCAUGCUUGUUGGAACUUCAAAUUGCACUCCAUUUUCACUUUCAGGCCAUUCCCAUCUUACUUCUUCAUCAAAGAUAACAUCCCUGCUAAUGAUUACUGUACUAUUGAUAGAAUUGUAUAGUCUAUAGGCUUUGGUGGUAGAACAGUAACCCAUAAAAAUGCAUUCGACGGAUUUCUCAUCAAGCUUACUGCGUUUAUGGGAGUCAACCAAUGCAUAUGCAAUGCAACCAAAGAUUCUUAGAUGACUUACCUAAGGUCUCCUUCCCGUCCAGGCUUCAUAUGGUGUUUGAUUUGGUACUGCUCUUGUUGGGGACAAAUUUAAUAUAUAAAUUGCUGUAGCCACCGCUUCUCCCCAAAACUAAUUCGGUAAUCCUUUUGCUUGUAACAUGCUUCUUGCCAUCUCCACAACGGUUCAA